CCCGGAGCAAGUAGAUGAAGACGAAGAACCUCCGCUGGAUUUCAAUGCCCUCAUAAAUGAAGCCGGAUUAUUAGACAACAUAGAUGAUCCUAUUUAAUGAUACAUUAGGCGUUCGUGUAAGAUGAUUAUAUGUAAUUAGUCUUCCUAAUUAUGAGACAUCAUUUUCUAAAUGUUCCACAUGACAAGAGACCGAGUGUCGCUGAAUGCUGUCCCUUCUUUUUAUUUUAAGCUACAAAACAACAUUCAACACCUUCGCACUCGACUCAUCAUAAUAAAACCUCUAUGCUACUACUCUAAACUUGUAUAAAGAAUCUCAGGCAGCCGUACUUUA
This is a long non-coding RNA of Cydia fagiglandana, 331 nucleotides long. RefSeq lists it as uncharacterized. The transcript is spliced from 6 exons. NCBI's taxonomy places the organism in Eukaryota, Metazoa, Arthropoda, Insecta, Lepidoptera, Tortricidae. The record is from RefSeq and is a predicted model, not a curated record.